UACGUAGGUGGCGAGCGUUGUCCGGAAUUAUUGGGCGUAAAGGAUGCGUAGGUGGUCUUUUAAGUGAGAUGUGAAAUCCCUGGGCUUAACCCAGGAACUGCAUUUCAAACUGGAAGACUAGAGUGCAGGAGAGGAAAGUGGAAUUCCUAGUGUAGCGGUGAAAUGCGUAGAGAUUAGGAGGAACACCAGUGGCGAAGGCGACUUUCUGGACUGUAACUGACACUGAGGCAUGAAAGCGUGGGGAGCAAACAGG
This 253-nucleotide ribosomal RNA is filed under the name uncultured bacterium. Its description in RNAcentral is "partial 16S ribosomal RNA". It matches the Rfam family "Bacterial small subunit ribosomal RNA", at positions 524 to 776 of the family's 1533-position model. RNAcentral also lists the same sequence under 1 other name. The record is from RNAcentral.